Molecule: long non-coding RNA, 960 nt
Filed under: Phascolarctos cinereus (koala)
Lineage: Eukaryota; Metazoa; Chordata; Mammalia; Diprotodontia; Phascolarctidae
Description: lncRNA (ENSPCIG00000034406.1)
Source: RNAcentral
GGGAGAAGUUCCUUUUUCUUGAAAUAGCUAAUGUGAAAUUUCUGAUCACAGAGAGACAUAUCUCUCUGUCUUCUGCAGUUGUAUUCACUAUCCGUGCAAGCUGAAAUAAUUUUUCUUAUCUGAACUAGCAAGAAAUAAAGUCAUAUAUGAAAUCUUUGUCUAUCAGGAAGCUUCUUCCAUCACUUUCUAAGUGACAUGAACUUUUAUAACUGCUAGUCCAAUUUUUACCUGCCUGUAGAGGGCCGGCUUUGGGGAGUUGGAGGGCUUAGGCCAGCCCGGGUCUUACCUGCAGCUUGUACUAAGCCUGACAGCUGUGAAACUCAGGAUGUCGGCUCACCCACCCCCCUGUUCUGUCUCUUGAGAACAGGAUGUAGGAAGGGAGGAAAGGAUGGGGUACAGGACAGGACGCAGGAAAGAAUGUAACAGACAAGCAUCAUACGGCAGCCGGGGACGCAGGCGCUCCCGGCAUUUGGCACUUGGACAGGGACCUGAAAGGAAGGCUUCCCCCGGCAGAGUGGCCCUGGACAAGGUGGGCUGUUUGGCCAACAGCCCUAGAAAAGGAGCUCCGUUCGUCAAGAGAAGACGCUAACAAGAACAUGCAGGAGAACCAGUCUGGGUUCCCGAGAGGAACAUCCGUACCUGUCAGCAUACUGACCGGAGGGAUAGAGACCCUGAGCAUCAAAGGAAAAACUGUUCGGAGAGACAUGCAGAGGAGGAAGGCGAGACUGAGAAGAUGAAGAGCCAAUAAUAAGAUGUUGACUGUCCUUUUUUGCAAUGAUGACUGUCACAGAUGGCUCCAUGAUGGAGUCAUGAUUACAUUGGACUUAUAUGCCUUACCCCACCUUGGGUUAAACCUGUAACUUGAUCACUAUACUUUUGUUUGUGUAACUCCCCAUUUGCUUUCUAAUACUACCAAUGUAACUUCUGAUCAAAUAUUGAAUAAGCUUCAGGGCGCUUGGC